CCUACGUGAGGCAGCAGUGAGGAAUAUUGGUCACUGGGCGCGAGCCUGCACCAGCCAAGUCGCGUGAGGGAAGACGGUCCUAUGGAUUGUAAACCUCUUUUGUCGGGGAGCAAAAGACGCCACGCGUGGCGUUCCGAGAGUACCAGCAGAAAAAGCAUCGGCUAACUCCGUGCCAGCAGCCGCGGUAAUACGGAGGAUGCGAGCGUUAUCCGGAUUUAUUGGGGUUAAAGGGUGCGCAGGCGGAAGAUCAAGUCAGCGGUAAAAUUGAGAGGCUCAACCUCUUAGAGCCGUUGAAACUGGUUUUCUUGAGUGAGCGAGAAGUAUGCGGAAUGCGUGGUGUAGCGGUGAAAUGCAUAGAUAUCACGCAGAACUCCGAUUGCGAAGGCAGCAUACCGGCGCUCAACUGACGCUCAUGCACGAAAGUGUGGGUAUCGAACAGGAUUAGAUACCCUUGUAGUC
This 459-nucleotide ribosomal RNA is filed under the name uncultured bacterium. Its description in RNAcentral is "partial 16S ribosomal RNA". It matches the Rfam family "Bacterial small subunit ribosomal RNA", at positions 338 to 795 of the family's 1533-position model. The record is from RNAcentral.